CGGGAGGCAGCAGUGGGGAAUUUUGGACAAUGGACGAAAGUCUGAUCCAGCCAUUCCGCGUGCAGGACGAAGGCCUUCGGGUUGUAAACUGCUUUUGUACGGAACGAAAAAGCCUUGGCUAAUACCCAGGGUCCAUGACGGUACCGUAAGAAUAAGCACCGGCUAACUACGUGCCAGCAGCCGCGGUAAUACGUAGGGUGCAAGCGUUAAUCGGAAUUACUGGGCGUAAAGCGUGCGCAGGCGGUUAUAUAAGACAGAUGUGAAAUCCCCGAGCUUAACUUGGGAACUGCAUUUGUGACUGUAUAGCUAGAGUACGGCAGAGGGGGAUGGAAUUCCGCGUGUAGCAGUGAAAUGCGUAGAUAUGCGGAGGAACACCGAUGGCGAAGGCAAUCCCCUGGGCCUGUACUGACGCUCAUGCACGAAAGCGUGGGGAGCAAACAGGAUUAGAUACCCCAGU
This 457-nucleotide ribosomal RNA is filed under the name uncultured Limnohabitans sp. RNAcentral's name for it is "bacterial SSU rRNA". It matches the Rfam family "Bacterial small subunit ribosomal RNA", at positions 342 to 791 of the family's 1533-position model. Lineage: Bacteria; Pseudomonadati; Pseudomonadota; Betaproteobacteria; Burkholderiales; Comamonadaceae. The record is from RNAcentral.